GAGUAAUGUCUGGGAAACUGCCUGAUGGAGGGGGAUAACUACUGGAAACGGUAGCUAAUACCGCAUAACGUCGCAAGACCAAAGAGGGGGACCUUCGGGCCUCUUGCCAUCGGAUGUGCCCAGAUGGGAUUAGCUUGUUGGUGGGGUAACGGCUCACCAAGGCGACGAUCCCUAGCUGGUCUGAGAGGAUGACCAGCCACACUGGAACUGAGACACGGUCCAGACUCCUACGGGAGGCAGCAGUGGGGAAUAUUGCACAAUGGGCGCAAGCCUGAUGCAGCCAUGCCGCGUGUAUGAAGAAGGCCUUCGGGUUGUAAAGUACUUUCAGCGGGGAGGAAGGGAGUAAAGUUAAUACCUUUGCUCAUUGACGUUACCCGCAGAAGAAGCACCGGCUAACUCCGUGCCAGCAGCCGCGGUAAUACGGAGGGUGCAAGCGUUAAUCGGAAUUACUGGGCGUAAAGCGCACGCAGGCGGUUUGUUAAGUCAGAUGUGAAAUCCCCGGGCUCAACCUGGGAACUGCAUCUGAUACUGGCAAGCUUGAGUCUCGUAGAGGGGGGUAGAAUUCCAGGUGUAGCGGUGAAAUGCGUAGAGAUCUGGAGGAAUACCGGUGGCGAAGGCGGCCCC
This 624-nucleotide ribosomal RNA is filed under the name Escherichia coli. Its description in RNAcentral is "bacterial SSU rRNA". It matches the Rfam family "Bacterial small subunit ribosomal RNA", at positions 108 to 728 of the family's 1533-position model. Lineage: Bacteria; Pseudomonadati; Pseudomonadota; Gammaproteobacteria; Enterobacterales; Enterobacteriaceae. The record is from RNAcentral.